Molecule: long non-coding RNA, 1463 nt
Organism: Acipenser ruthenus (sterlet)
Lineage: Eukaryota; Metazoa; Chordata; Actinopteri; Acipenseriformes; Acipenseridae
Exons: 5
Source: RefSeq, a predicted model, not a curated record
CUGACACCCUGGGAUCCUUCAAGAAGCUGCUUGAUGAGAUUCUGGGAUCAAUAAGCUACUAACAACCAAACGAGCAAGAUGGGCUGAAUGGCCUCCUCUCGUUUGUAAACUUUCUUAUGUUCUUAUGUUCUUACAUCCUCAGUCCCGCCUACCGAGGGGUUAAAACUGUCAUUCCACGGAAGCCAUGUGUCUUUUUGCGUCGAAGCUGUGACGGCUACUGAUGCGACCUCGCUGGUUGGUGAUCAUCUUCUCUUUCAGGGAACCAGGGUUAUGGUUCAAUGUCAAAUAUUUUCUUUGCCAAGACCACUCUGGAACAUGUGGCCACGGUUCAUUCCCUGGACCCUUUUGCUGUCAAAUCUGUACACAAAGGGGGACGUAACACACAUGGACUGGCCUCUCCCAUGCUGCAGCAUUCAGGAUCUCUGCACGGGUAAUUAUCAGCAAGGGGCAUGGUGUCUGUUUUUGCCAGUGAUGAUACUUAUGGAGGGAUUAAAUGUGGACAAGGCAUUAACACCAAGAUGGAUAGAGGCAUUGGGGCAUGUUUUGAUCAUCUAGACAGCUGCAGGUCUUAAAGAGCAACUUGGGUCUGCCCUGAACCCCAGCCUGGCGAUGUCCCUCAGUGUAAUUCCUGCAGGGUGGCAGUGACGGAAGCAGAGCUAGAUGUGCUCUCGGGGAAGUGUCAGGUCAGCCGCGUGGACAUCCUCUUUGACUGCAGGGAAAAGUAGGAACAGAAGGGGAGCUCACUCAUGCCACUGUACUGUCCUUCUUUCUAAAGCUGUGCAAUGGCUCGGCAUCUAAGCCCAGUGAAUUAAGAGAAAAGGCAAAGGCUGUACGUGAAGCUCUAACCUCAUGGUUGAAGGACGUGAGUAAAGAUAAUUGGAAAAGUAAUUCUCCAGUCCUAAUCACUGGACUUUUUAAAUCCUUCUUGCAUACAGUGUUUGAGCGCAUACCUAUAUUACAGCUUUGGAGAAUCUGUAGAGGCUGUUUUUUAAGGGCAGUGUCUACAGUAAACCCUGAUUGUAAUGAAGAAUACUGAUAAAUUGCUGAAACAUCACUUACUAAUUUUACCUUGCAAUAUCUAUAAGCUCAUAGUUUGUUUUCUACUUGUCACCCAGGGAUUGGGGAAGCAAACUGCUGUCAGAGCGAAGGAGAUGCACAAUUUAAAUAAAGGCCCAUUCUCCACGAAAUUGACAUGCAGAAUAGAAAGGACUUGAUGACUGUUGGUCUUUAGAGGUUGUAGUUUCUUUAAAACAGCUGUGAAAAGGGCUAACGUACAGUAACACAAUGGUAAAGCAUCUGAAUUACAACCAACAGCCUUGGGUCCAGUCCCUAACUGCAGGUCACAUAUUCCAUUCAGGCAACUAGAAGCACAUUUAGUGCCUGAAGGAAAGUCCUGCCUGCUUAGUGGUACAAGAGCACGAUCAAAGGGAAGCUCCAAACACCUAAAUGUCGAGGCACACCUG